CCUAGGGCGGCUGCAGUGGGGAAUAUUGGACAAUGGGGGCAACCCUGAUCCAGCCAUGCCGCGUGUGUGAAGAAGGCCCUCGGGUUGUAAAGCACUUUCAGUGAGGAAGAACGCCUGGUGGUUAAUACCCAUCAGGAAAGACAUCACUCACAGAAGAAGCACCGGCUAACUCCGUGCCAGCAGCCGCGGUAAUACGGAGGGUGCGAGCGUUAAUCGGAAUUACUGGGCGUAAAGCGCGCGUAGGUGGCUUGAUAAGCCGGUUGUGAAAGCCCCGGGCUCAACCUGGGAACGGCAUCCGGAACUGUCAAGCUAGAGUGCAGGAGAGGAAGGUAGAAUUCCCGGUGUAGCGGUGAAAUGCGUAGAGAUCGGGAGGAAUACCAGUGGCGAAGGCGGCCUUCUGGACUGACACUGACACUGAGGUGCGAAAGCGUGGGUAGCAAACAGGAUUAGAUACCCCGGUAGUC
This 464-nucleotide ribosomal RNA is filed under the name Vreelandella stevensii. Its description in RNAcentral is "partial 16S ribosomal RNA". It matches the Rfam family "Bacterial small subunit ribosomal RNA", at positions 338 to 795 of the family's 1533-position model. The record is from RNAcentral. Lineage: Bacteria; Pseudomonadati; Pseudomonadota; Gammaproteobacteria; Oceanospirillales; Halomonadaceae.